CGAGCUGGGUUCAGAACGUCGUGAGACAGUUCGGUCCCUAUCCGGCGCGGGCGUAGGAUAUUUGAGAGGAGCUGCCCCUAGUACGAGAGGACCGGGGUGGACGGACCACUGGUGUAUCAGCUGUCGACCAACGGCAUAGCUGAGUAGCCAAGUCUGGACGGGAUAAACGCUGAAGGCAUCUAAGCGUGAAGCCCCCCUCAAGAUGAGAUAUCCCAUUCCUUCAAGGAAAUAAGAUCCCUUAUAGACGAUAAGGUAGAUAGGUUCAAGGUGUAAGUGCGGUAACGCAUUCAGCUGAUGAAUACUAAUAGAUUGAAGGUUUAUUCU
RNAcentral lists this ribosomal RNA (324 nucleotides) under Pseudobutyrivibrio ruminis DSM 9787. RNAcentral describes it as "bacterial LSU rRNA". It matches the Rfam family "Bacterial large subunit ribosomal RNA", at positions 2601 to 2925 of the family's 2925-position model. The record is from RNAcentral. Lineage: Bacteria; Bacillati; Bacillota; Clostridia; Lachnospirales; Lachnospiraceae.